This 521-nucleotide ribosomal RNA is filed under the name uncultured bacterium. RNAcentral's name for it is "bacterial SSU rRNA". It matches the Rfam family "Bacterial small subunit ribosomal RNA", at positions 8 to 518 of the family's 1533-position model. The record is from RNAcentral.
AGGGUUCGAUUCUGGCUCAGGAUGAACGCUAGCUACAGGCUUAACACAUGCAAGUCGAGGGGCAGCGAGAAGAAAGCUUGCUUUCUUGUCGGCGACCGGCGCACGGGUGAGUAACGCGUAUCCAACCUUCCCUAUAGUAGGGGAUAGCCCGGCGAAAGUCGGAUUAAUACCCUAUGUUCUUCAUAGAUGACAUCUGAAAUGAAGCAAAGGUUUACCGCUAUAGGAUGGGGAUGCGUCUGAUUAGCUUGUUGGCGGGGUAACGGCCCACCAAGGCAACGAUCAGUAGGGGUUCUGAGAGGAAGGUCCCCCACAUUGGUACUGAGACACGGACCAAACUCCUACGGGAGGCAGCAGUGAGGAAUAUUGGUCAAUGGGCGAGAGCCUGAACCAGCCAAAGUAGCGUGAGGGAUGACGGCCCUACGGGUUGUAAACCUCUUUUGUUUGGGAAUAAAGUGGGCCACGCGUGGCCUUUUGUAUGUACCUUUCGAAUAAGCAUCGGCUAAUUCCGUGCCAGCCGCCGC